AGUUAGGAAAUGCAGGUGCGUUAAUAGCGCACUUGCUUGACUAAGGCUCCAGAGGAAGCCACGGCUAACUCUGUGCCAGCAGCCGCGGUAAUACAGAGGCGGCAAGCGUUGUUCGAAAUUAUUGGGCGUAAAGAGCACGUAGGCGGCCUUGCAAGUCAGUUGUGAAAGCCUUCCGCUUAACGGAAGAACGGCAUCUGAUACUACAGGGCUUGAGUACGGGAGGGGAGAGUGGAACUUCUGGU
RNAcentral lists this ribosomal RNA (242 nucleotides) under uncultured anaerobic ammonium-oxidizing bacterium. RNAcentral's name for it is "partial 16S ribosomal RNA". It matches the Rfam family "Bacterial small subunit ribosomal RNA", at positions 441 to 674 of the family's 1533-position model. The record is from RNAcentral.